UACGAAGGGGACUAGCGUGGUUCGGAAUUACUGGGCGUAAAGCGCACGUAGGCGGUUUUGUUAGUCAGGGGUGAAAUCCCGGGGCUCAACCUCGGAACUGCCUUUGAUACUGCAAAUCUCGAGUCCGAUAGAGGUGGGUGGAAUUCCUAGUGUAGAGGUGAAAUUCGUAGAUAUUAGGAAGAACACCGGUGGCGAAGGCGGCCCACUGGAUCGGUACUGACGCUGAGGUGCGAAAGCGUGGGGAGCAAACAGG
Molecule: ribosomal RNA, 253 nt
Filed under: uncultured bacterium
Lineage: Bacteria
Description: partial 16S ribosomal RNA
Rfam family: Bacterial small subunit ribosomal RNA
Source: RNAcentral